ACUGGUGUGCAGGUGCCAGCGGCCAUGGUCUUCCAGUGUCCUGGGACUAAAGAGCUGGUUCUAGCUUGAUGUGGUUUCCAUGAAUCCAGGAGGAUUUUCCUUGUACUUUGGUGACAGAAUAACUGCUUAGCAGUUCUUCACAAAGUCUAUCACAGCCAGAUACAAAUGAUGCAACUUGCGAAUGAUUCCUGUCAUUGAAAUAAGAAGAAUAACAUUUAAAUGAAACAUUAUCAUAAGUACCUUUUAACCAUCAAAGAGGUUUCAUUACACAAUCUUUUGUCUAUGUUUGUAUCUUUUAUAAAAUGUGGGUAAACCAAUGCAAGUAAGAAGACAGAUUUUUUUU
Molecule: long non-coding RNA, 343 nt
Organism: Ochotona princeps (American pika)
Lineage: Eukaryota; Metazoa; Chordata; Mammalia; Lagomorpha; Ochotonidae
Exons: 2
Source: RefSeq, a predicted model, not a curated record